Molecule: long non-coding RNA, 3048 nt
Filed under: Schizosaccharomyces pombe (fission yeast)
Lineage: Eukaryota; Fungi; Ascomycota; Schizosaccharomycetes; Schizosaccharomycetales; Schizosaccharomycetaceae
Source: RNAcentral
UUUUAGAUCUUUUCCUUCACCUCAGCUGACAUAAACAACGCUAUUUCAGAUAAACCCAUUUUAAUCGAAGAUAUCUUUGCAACAUUUUAUUCUCGGCGAAGCAUCAUUUCCUUAAAUAUUAUAAGCCUAAAAAUAAAGUAUUAUAUCGUCGAGUUAAAUAAAUCUUUCACGAAGCUUAUUAGCUGAGCAGUAUGACUUUAUUCGCCUGGAGAUCAGACAUCCGAAAUUCAAUUUUACCAAGUACCCGAAAAAACAACCAAAAUCACUCAUACAAACUUACAUUGCGGCCAUUUGCAGAUUGCUGGAUUUGACUUCUAAUUAAAUCUAAACAGCUAUGGAUAGUACUCAUGUUGAAUGAAAGCUAUUACUACUUUCUUAGUCAAAUCCACCUGACAGUUAAAUUACUCUGCUUAGGUCUCUUAGUUGAAAUUGAUUUUGAGUGAUACAAAAUGUGGGAUAAAGAGUACUAUAUGGGGGUAUAGCUAUAGUCUCUUCUUGACUUUAUUAACCUGGAGAAGCUUACAGAGAGUAAUUGCUGAUCAAAGUGGGAGGAAGAGGUACCAAAUGGGGGUAAUGAUAUUAUAUGUCACAGAAACAAGUAAAUAAAUAAACAUUAAUGGCUAAGAAACAUUUAAAAAGAAAUCACUAAUAAAGGAUUAAUGUUAAUUUGGCUACAAAACCGACGAAUUGUAACCCAUGUUGAUUGACAAACCUCUCUUCUUUACAAUGAGUACACAGGAGAGGAAAAUAUUAAACAAGAACGCUCUUUUUCUAUUUUAUCAAAAAAAAAAAAAAAAUUCAGUUCAAAUAGUUGAUUGAACGAAUGGAGAGUUUACAAGAGUGUUUUACUCAAUGUUUAGAUAAUUGAUACAAAUAUUCAAUCAUGGUAAAAAAGUUUCAUAGUUAAAAAAGGUUUCUGAAACAAUUCAAAAAUCCAUUGGGUUAAAAAAAUUAUAAUAAUUCAAUAUAUUUUAAGAGAAGAAAUUGCGUUGACUAAUUUUCGGAUGUAUUCAAAGAAAUCAUGAAAAAAAAAACACAAAGAAAUAGAAAAUGAGAGCACAAGAGAAUCAAAAUUCUUUUAAAGAACUCAUGUCCUUUAAAGAAACUCAUUACUUUGUUCUAAGCGAAACGGUCGUUAGGGUUCACCAUUGCUUUAUUCCGUGAACAAAAUUUCAAAACUAUUGUACACGGGGAAUCCACUGGUGUCUACAACAGGAUCAUUGCCAGGACGAACCACCAAACCGGUGUGCAACCCGACUUUUCUUGCAGCUUUCAACUCGUUGAUAUUGUCACUCAAGAAGAGCCAUUCUCUAGGAUUUGAGUUUCCCACAAUUUUCACAUAACUGCCACACUCAGUUUUAAGCCCUAUAGUAGUAUCGUAAUAUCCAGAGAAAUACUUUAGAAGGUUUCCAGCAUCUGAAUGCUCGAAAUACAAUUUCUGAGCUGGAACACUCCCACUGGAGUAAAUGUAAACACGCAUUCCCAAUUGCAAACUACGUUGAAUAGCAGGAACAACAUCGGGGAACAAGUGUGAAGUUAGUUCAUUACUUUCAUAACCUUUUUUCCAAAUACGACCUUGGACCAUUUUGAAGGAACGUUCUUUGCUUCCUUCAGCAUGCAACUUUCGUAAAUUUAUCAAGGCCUCUUCAGGCGUUUUUCCAAGUUCUCGCAAGUUUUCAUCACUUUCAUAAUUUUCAUUAACAUAACUUUCGUAUCUUGAAGCAGCGUAUGGAAACUAGCAUGGGUUAAACACGAUCUACAUUGUUCUCAAUAAAAAACUUCACUUACCAAUUUGUCUUUGACAAAUGAAAUGCUACCCACAGUCCCUUCAAUAUCCAAGAGCAAAUUUUUAACCAUUUUUUGUAAUAAAGAGAUGCCGUACAACUCACUUUUCUUUUAGGACACAAGUUUUAUGCAACUUUAAAGAAGUAAGAUGUGCAGUAAGUAGGAUUAGUACUUUGCGAAUUCAGCUAUGCAUCACGUAAAAUAAUUUAAGAUUACAAUUGGAAUUUUAUUGGAUUUUACUUUCUUAAACAUAUGGAAAAAGAAUUUCAACAGCUUGCAGCUUUUUAUUGAGAACAUGCAUUUGAAUAAUUAUCUUAUGCAUGCCUGUCUUUUAGAAUAGAAAAUACGGACUAGUUAUUUUUUAACCAUUUUUUAAAUUCAUUAAUUAUUCAUAGAUUAAUCGCGUACAAUAUAUGUUUCUACCAAGAUGUCUUUUUUUUGUGGUCAAGAUUGAUAAGUAGAGCUUAUUACGAAACGAAUAACAUUUUAAGUUAAAUAAAUCUAAGGGAUUUCAUACAGACAAAGACUUUCUGUGUACGUUAAAGGAGAAAGGUGUACUAGGAGGAUUAUCAGGAAGCUCUUUAGCCAUAUCAACAGCAUCAGCAGGUGAGCUCUUAUUCAUUACAAAAAGACCCUGCAAUGAAGCCAUACUUGUAUUUUUUGGACACACUAUAUCACUUAAAUCGUCAGCCAUCUCUGGGGAGUGACCGUAAAAGCGAGUAAACAUUUCGCGAACUUGUUCAGGUGUAGCAUUUCCAAGAUAUGCUUUAACGUCAACGCGGCCCGGACGAACGAGAGCUGGAUCAAGCUUUUCAGGAUGAUUAGUUGUCAUAAAUAUAAUCCUUUCGUCUGAUGAAGUGACACCGUCGAGUGCAUUUAACAACCCACUAAAUGUAACAUUGGCAUGAAACCCAACUUCCCCAGAUCGUUCCCUACCUUGAAAUGCAGAAUCAACAUCCUCCAGUAAAACUACUGCCUUGGGAGGUACAUUAGAAAGUAGAUGGUUGAGACGAUCGUCAGUUAAGCCUUUUUCAGCCAAGUUUAGAACGCAUAUGUCGUAGUCCAAUUCACCUGCAAGAGCAUAUAAAAAUGAGGUUUUUCCACUUCCAGGAGGUCCAUAAAGAAGAUAGCCUCUUCUAUAUGGAAUUCCUCUUGUAUCAUACCAUUGUGAAUUUCGUAAAAAGUCAUGAACGUCGUCUGUAAUCAUUUUUUUAACAUUGCUUUCAAGUACAACACUAGAAAGCAUCCUUUUUGAUCUAGGGU